Molecule: ribosomal RNA, 487 nt
Filed under: uncultured bacterium
Lineage: Bacteria
Description: partial 16S ribosomal RNA
Rfam family: Bacterial small subunit ribosomal RNA
Source: RNAcentral
GACGAACGCUGGCGGCGUGCUUAACACAUGCAAGUCGAACGGAAAGGCCCUGCUUUUGUGGGGUGCUCGAGUGGCGAACGGGUGAGUAACACGUGAGUAACCUGCCCUUGACUUUGGGAUAACUUCAGGAAACUGGGGCUAAUACCGGAUAGGAGCUCCUGCUGCAUGGUGGGGGUUGGAAAGUUUCGGCGGUUGGGGAUGGAUCCGCGCUGCAUUAGCUAGUUGGUAAGGUAACGGCUUACCAAGGCAACGAUGCAUAGCCGACCUGAGAGGGUGAUCGGCCACACUGGAACUGAGACACGGUCCAGACUCCUACGGGAGGCAGCAGUAGGGAAUCUUCCGCAAUGGGCGAAAGCCUGACGGAGCAACGCCGCGUGAGUGAUGAAGGUCUUCGGAUCGUAAAACUCUGUUAUUAGGGAAGAACAUAUGUGUAAGUAACUGUGCACAUCUUGACGGUACCUAAUCAGAAAGCCACGGCUAACUACGU